This 441-nucleotide ribosomal RNA is filed under the name uncultured bacterium. Its description in RNAcentral is "partial 16S ribosomal RNA". It matches the Rfam family "Bacterial small subunit ribosomal RNA", at positions 338 to 795 of the family's 1533-position model. The record is from RNAcentral.
CCUACGGGCGGCUGCAGUGGGGAAUAUUGCACAAUGGGGGAAACCCUGAUGCAGCAACGCCGCGUGAAGGAAGACGGUUUUCUGAUUUUAAACUUCUGUUCUUAGGGGAGAAUAAUGACGGUAGCUAAGGAGCAAGCCACGGCUAAAUACGUGCCAGCAGCCGCGGUAAUACGUAGGUGGCAAGCGUUGUCCGGAAUUACUGGGUUUAAGGGGAGCGCAGGCGGGUAGCCAAGUCAGUUGUGAAAACUACGGGCUUAACUUGUAGAGUGCAGUUGAAACUGGUUUUCUUGAGUGAAGUAGAGGUAGGCGGAAUUCGGGGUGUAGCGGUGAAAUGCGUAGAUAUCCAGAGGAACACCGAUGGCGAAGGCGGCCAGCUGGGCUGUAACUGACGCUGAUGCUCGAAAGUGUGGGGAGCAAACAGGAUUAGAUACCCGUGUAGUC